CUACGGGAGGCAGCAGUGGGGAAUAUUGGACAAUGGGCGCAAGCCUGAUCCAGCCAUGCCGCGUGGGUGAAGAAGGCCUUCGGGUUGUAAAGCCCUUUUGUCCGGAAAGAAAUCCUGUCGGUUAAUACCCGGCGGGGAUGACGGUACCGGAAGAAUAAGCACCGGCUAACUUCGUGCCAGCAGCCGCGGUAAUACGAAGGGUGCAAGCGUUACUCGGAAUUACUGGGCGUAAAGCGCGCGUAGGCGGUUCGUUAAGUCCGAUGUGAAAGCCCUGGGCUCAACCUGGGAACUGCAUUGGAUACUGGCGAGCUAGAGUGCGGUAGAGGAUGGUGGAAUUCCCGGUGUAGCGGUGAAAUGCGUAGAGAUCGGGAGGAACACCAGUGGCGAAGGCGGCCAUCUGGACCAGCACUGACGCUGAGGCACGAAAGCGUGGGGAGCAAACAGGAUUAGAAACCCCGGUAGUCC
This 465-nucleotide ribosomal RNA is filed under the name uncultured bacterium. RNAcentral describes it as "bacterial SSU rRNA". It matches the Rfam family "Bacterial small subunit ribosomal RNA", at positions 339 to 796 of the family's 1533-position model. The record is from RNAcentral.